This 72-nucleotide transfer RNA is filed under the name Bos taurus (domestic cattle). It matches the Rfam family "tRNA". Rfam says of the family: Transfer RNA (tRNA) molecules are approximately 80 nucleotides in length. The record is from Rfam by way of RNAcentral. RNAcentral also lists the same sequence under 1 other name. Lineage: Eukaryota; Metazoa; Chordata; Mammalia; Artiodactyla; Bovidae.
UCCCUGGUGGCCCAGUGGUUAGGACUCUGCACUUCCACUUCAGCGUCGCAGGUUCAAUCCCUGGUCGGGGAG